This is a long non-coding RNA of Cyanistes caeruleus (blue tit), 1591 nucleotides long. NCBI's taxonomy places the organism in Eukaryota, Metazoa, Chordata, Aves, Passeriformes, Paridae. The record is from Ensembl.
GGCGGGGCGAGACAGGAUCGGGGCGGGCCAGGGAAGGGCUCCGCCGGAAAGGCCGGAGCUCAUAAAGAGCCCGGCGCUCGCUGGGGCCUUAGGCAGGUGGGCGGGCGGAGGCCGGGCUGAGGCAGAGCUGAGGCAGAGCUGAGGCAGAGCUGAGGCAGAGCCCGGCUGCCCCAGCCCCGAGCGCGGCUGGACGGGCUCGAAGGAGCCGCCGCAGGUGAAUAAUGAGAGCUGCGAGGGGCUGAACACGGCUGAGUGGUGUCCUGGCCGGAGUGAGCGUGCGGGGCUGUGAAAAGCGCCUUAAAUGCACGCUGUUAACUGAUAAAUAGCGGAUUUAGUUGGAGUUCUGGCGGCCUGGCAGGCUCUGGUCUGUCCUGGCUGGAAGAUUCUGUAGUAGGGGUUCAUAAUUCAAGUGGGAAACGGGAAGUUACCUGAACAAUGCAUAAAAAAUAAACAACAAAUCUCAAUCGCAGGUGUACCCAGCAGCCUGGCUCUCCGUGCUAACAGGCAGCCGCAGUGGGAUCAGGUGUGUCUAAAUUAGUCCCAGCAGGUGGGUUAGAAACUCGGCUCUGGGUCAGGAAUGACUUCAGUGUGUGCCUGUUAAUGAUAAACAGCUGCGUUAAAAAACAAGUUGUUAUUUCGGGCUCCUGUUUGCUACUUCGCAGGUUGUUACAGUAAUGAAAGACUUUAGGUUCAUUACAGGAGAUGCAUGUGCUAAUUAGCAGCCCAGUUAAUAGGGCAGACUGGGAGCUGUGCUUGCUGCUCCCCGGAUUUCCAAAACCUCAGGAGAAGGAACGCAGGGAUGCAGUGUGAGCAUCAGAGGCAGCCGUGCUUUAGGGAUAGCAGAAAAAUAAUGAAGAAAACGAUGACUAAUGAGCGGCUGUGCCCGGGCUGGGGUUCCCCUUGUGAAGGAACAUUUCUGCACCCCGAGAGAAGCUGCCCAGGAUUCCAGAGGUUAGGAAGAGCUCGGAGGUGCGGUGGGAGAGGAGCGCUGUCCCCAGCAGGUGGCAGGAGCCGCCUUCCCGCACGCUCCGCGCCGCUGUCCAUGGUUACCCACGGCAGCCCGGGAUGCUCGGGAACAGCAGCGGGAAAGGGGCGGUGUGGGGCACAGGUGAGCCGAGCAUUCCCUGGAUGUGGGGCACAGGUGAGCCGAGCAUUCCCUGGAUGUGGGGCGGGAAAGGGGCGGUGUGCGGCACAGGUGAGCCGAGCAUUCCCUGGAUGUGGGGCGGGAAAACUGCGGCUGCUCCCCUGCUCGCGGAUCCCGCACCACAGGAGCGUUUUGGCUGGGUUUUGCUGCCACGUGGGGCACAGAAAUGACUUUGGCAUGACAGGAGCCAGGGAGCAGCUGCAGCUGGGCCAGGGAUGGGGCUCAGGCUGGAGAUCAGGAAAGGUUCUUCCCCCAGAGGGUGGAAUGAGCUCUGGAAAAGCUCCCCAGGGAAUGGGCACGGCCCCGAGGCUGCCGGAGCUCCAGGAGCGUUUGGGCAGCGCUGCCAGGGAUGCCCAGGCUGGGAUUGUUGGGGGGUCUGGGAGGGGCUGGGAUGAUCCCUGGGGGUCCCAGCUCAGGAUAUUCUGGGGUUCUCCGAGUGAUCUCUGA